RNAcentral lists this long non-coding RNA (220 nucleotides) under Elaeis guineensis (African oil palm). RNAcentral's name for it is "long non-coding RNA (EGUI_LNC080174)". Lineage: Eukaryota; Viridiplantae; Streptophyta; Magnoliopsida; Arecales; Arecaceae. The record is from RNAcentral.
UUUGCUACUAUCAUUCACAUGAACAUCAGGCUCAGUCUAUUUGACUUUUCCCAAUCCCGGAAAGUCUUUUGUUCGAUGGUGCUUUCUUCCAUAAAUUCAGCUAAGUUAAGAUCCAAAACACCAAAGUGAAAUUGGACUUGUUCGCUCCAUUCAGAAUAGUUAAGCCCAUAACUUCACAAUAGACGAAGCUUGCGAAUGAAGAGAAACAGGAACAGUUACU